RNAcentral lists this ribosomal RNA (497 nucleotides) under uncultured bacterium. Its description in RNAcentral is "partial 16S ribosomal RNA". It matches the Rfam family "Bacterial small subunit ribosomal RNA", at positions 28 to 507 of the family's 1533-position model. The record is from RNAcentral.
GAUGAACGCUGGCGGCGUGCCUAAUACAUGCAAGUCGAGCGAACGGACGAGAAGCUUGCUUCUCUGAUGUUAGCGGCGGACGGGUGAGUAACACGUGGAUAACCUACCUAUAAGACUGGGAUAACUUCGGGAAACCGGAGCUAAUACCGGAUGAUAUUUUGAACCGCAUGGUUCAAAAGUGAAAGACGGUCUUGCUGUCACUUAUAGAUGGAUCCGCGCUGCAUUAGCUAGUUGGUAAGGUAACGGCUUACCAAGGAAACGAUGCAUAGCCGACCUGAGAGGGUGAUCGGCCACACUGGAACUGAGACACGGUCCAGACUCCUACGGGAGGCAGCAGUAGGGAAUCUUCCGCAAUGGGCGAAAGCCUGACGGAGCAACGCCGCGUGAGUGAUGAAGGUCUUCGGAUCGUAAAACUCUGUUAUUAGGGAAGAACAUAUGUGUAAGUAACUGUGCACAUCUUGACGGUACCUAAUCAGAAAGCCACGGCUAGCUACGUG